This 468-nucleotide ribosomal RNA is filed under the name uncultured bacterium. Its description in RNAcentral is "partial 16S ribosomal RNA". It matches the Rfam family "Bacterial small subunit ribosomal RNA", at positions 28 to 507 of the family's 1533-position model. The record is from RNAcentral.
GAUGAACGCUGGCGGCGUGCUUAACACAUGCAAGUCGAACGGAAAGGCCCUGAUCUUGUGGGGCGCUCGAGAGGCGAACGCGUGAGAAAAACGUGAGUAACACGCCCCUGUAUUUGGGAUAACUUCAGGAGAAUGGGGCGAAUAUCGGAUAGGAGCUCCUGCAGCAUGGGGGUGGUUGGAAAGUUUCGGCGGUUGGGGAUGGACUGGCGGCUUAUCAGCUUGUUGGUGGGGUAGUGGAUGACAAAGGCUUUGACGGGUAGCCGGCCUGGGAGGGUUACCGGCCACAAUGGGACUGAGAGACGGACCAGACUCCUACGGGAGGCAGCAGUGGGGAAUAUUGCGCAAUGGGCGGAAGCCUGAUGCAGCAACGCCGCGUGCGGGAUGACGGCCUUCGGGUUGUAAACCGCUUUCGCCUGUGACGAAGCGGGAGUGACGGUAAUGGGUAAAGAAGCACCGGCUAACUACGUG